Molecule: ribosomal RNA, 620 nt
Filed under: uncultured bacterium
Lineage: Bacteria
Description: bacterial SSU rRNA
Rfam family: Bacterial small subunit ribosomal RNA
Source: RNAcentral
CCUACGGGAGGCAGCAGUGGGGAAUUUUGGACAAUGGGCGCAAGCCUGAUCCAGCAAUGCCGCGUGAGUGAAGAAGGCCUUCGGGUUGUAAAGCUCUUUUGUCAGGGAAGAAACGGUCUACUCUAAUACAGUGGGCUAAUGACGGUACCUGAAGAAUAAGCACCGGCUAACUACGUGCCAGCAGCCGCGGUAAUACGUAGGGUGCAAGCGUUAAUCGGAAUUACUGGGCGUAAAGCGUGCGCAGGCGGUUAUAUAAGUCAGAUGUGAAAUCCCCGGGCUCAACCUGGGAACUGCAUUUGAGACUGUAUGGCUAGAGUGUGUCAGAGGGGGGUAGAAUUCCACGUGUAGCAGUGAAAUGCGUAGAUAUGUGGAGGAAUACCGAUGGCGAAGGCAGCCCCCUGGGAUAACACUGACGCUCAUGCACGAAAGCGUGGGGAGCAAACAGGAUUAGAUACCCUGGUAGUCCACGCCCUAAACGAUGUCUACUAGUUGUCGGGACUUAAUUGUCCUUGGUAACGCAGCUAACGCGUGAAGUAGACCGCCUGGGGAUACGGUCGCAAGNUUAAAACCUAGAAGUAUCGGNGNGNGAGAGCGACGACGACGACGACGGAGGGAGGAGG